AGAGUUUGAUUCUGGCUCAGGACGAACGCUGGCGGCGUGCUUAACACAUGCAAGUCGAACGGGGUAUACAGGGCCAAAGCCUUCGGGGUGCGGACCUGUAUACUUAGUGGCGAACGGGUGAGUAACGCGUGAGUAACCUACGCAACAGAGGGGGAUAACAUCUGGAAACGGAUGCUAAUACCGCAUGAGACCCCGGUGUCACAUGGCACUGAGGUAAAAGGGAGCAAUCCCGCUGAUGGAAGGACUCGCGUCCCAUUAGAUAGUUGGUAUGGGUAACGGCCUACCAAGUCGACGAUGGGUAGCCGGACUGAGAGGUUGAACGGCCACACUGGGACUGAGAUACGGCCCAG
This 350-nucleotide ribosomal RNA is filed under the name uncultured bacterium. RNAcentral describes it as "bacterial SSU rRNA". It matches the Rfam family "Bacterial small subunit ribosomal RNA", at positions 8 to 334 of the family's 1533-position model. The record is from RNAcentral.